UGAACGCUGGCGGCGUGCUAUACAUGCAAGUCGAGCGAACGGACGAGAAGCUUGCUUCUCUGAUGUUAGCGGCGGACGGGUGAGUAACACGUGGAUAACCUACCUAUAAGACUGGGAUAACUUCGGGAAACCGGAGCUAAUACCGGAUAAUAUUUUAAACCGCAUGGUUCAAAAGUGAAAGACGGUCUUGCUGUCACUUAUAGAUGGAUCCGCGCUGCAUUAGCUAGUUGGUAAGGUAACGGCUUACCAAGGCAACGAUGCAUAGCCGACCUGAGAGGGUGAUCGGCCACACUGGAACUGAGACACGGUCCAGACUCCUACGGGAGGCAGCAGUAGGGAAUCUUCCGCAAUGGGCGAAAGCCUGACGGAGCAACGCCGCGUGAGUGAUGAAGGUCUUCGGAUCGUAAAACUCUGUUAUUAGGGAAGAACAUAUGUGUAAGUAACUGUGCACAUCUUGACGGUACCUAAUCAGAAAGCCACGGCUAACUACGUGCCAGCAGCCGCGGUAAUACGUAGGUGGCAAGCGUUAUCCGGAAUUAUUGGGCGUAAAGCGCGCGUAGGCGGUUUUUUAAGUCUGAUGUGAAAGCCCACGGCUCAACCGUGGAGGGUCAUUGGAAACUGGAAAACUUGAGUGCAGAAGAGGAAAGUGGAAUUCCAUGUGUAGCGGUGAAAUGCGCAGAGAUAUGGAGGAACACCAGUGGCGAAGGCGACCUUCUGGUCUGUAACUGACGCUGAUGUGCGAAAGCGUGGGGAUCAAACAGGAUUAGAUACCCUGGUAGUCCACGCCGUAAACGAUGAGUGCUAAGUGUUAGGGGGUUUCCGCCCCUUAGUGCUGCAGCUAACGCAUUAAGCACU
This 855-nucleotide ribosomal RNA is filed under the name uncultured Staphylococcus sp. Its description in RNAcentral is "bacterial SSU rRNA". It matches the Rfam family "Bacterial small subunit ribosomal RNA", at positions 30 to 868 of the family's 1533-position model. The record is from RNAcentral. Lineage: Bacteria; Bacillati; Bacillota; Bacilli; Caryophanales; Staphylococcaceae.